UCAUGUUUUUAUUGCAGAAAAUUUUCAAAGUAUGUUUAGCCAUCGAUUGACGAUCAUAGCAUUUUGGGAAACUUUCAUAUUUUUUUUGAAUAUUCUCCCAUUUAUAUAAAAUCUAAAUUUUGGAAGCUUUUUGCUAUAAUUAAGAUCUAUAAAUAUUUUAUUUGGAUGUCCCAAUCUAGAUUUAUGAUUUAUUUCUCUGAAUUUUUAGAAGAAUAUAUGCUCAUGCGUUGCACCAGAGGUCAUGAAUUUUCCCCACAGCUAAUGUGAUGGUUUUGAUCAUUUAAAAAAUCACAAAAUAACAAAAAAGCUAACAAAUGUUGCGAACCUUAAACUAUUUUGAAAUUCAUUGAGACCUUAUUUUUUUCCUCUCUUCUCUUUCGUUAUUUAUCAACACGUCAGCCUAGUUACAUGGGAAGGCCCAUGAAGCAAGGGAAAGCAAAAAUAUUUCACAAGAAAAAAUUAUACUACAAUAUUUAUAUAUUUAGUGACAGGUUAUUGUGCCUGCUUGUGGGGUGGUUGUUCCAAGAUUUCUUAGCAGAGGUCGAUUAUAUGGACCUAGGGAGGUAAUUUUAAUAUUUUUUGAGAGUUUAGGCAAUAAGUUUGAAUAGUUUUGAAGUUAGAGAAGGAAAAAUUAUACCAUGAUAAUAAUUAAUAAAGGUAAAAUGAUUUUUUCCCAAAUUGUAGGAUGCGUUAAUAUGGGCCGGGUUGCUAUUGGAUCUGUUGACAAUUUUGCAAACCUCACAACUGGCCUUUGAAUUUCUGAAUUCUUAUCACGAAUUCACGAUUAUUGGAGCCAUGGCGCAUGGGAUCUAAGGGCCUGCUUGGUACCUUCGCUCAGUACUAUAUAGCCUUGUCUAGCUAGCAAGGAUUUGCAAUAGAUGGUUUAUUUGGUUAUAAUUGGUAAGGACACCUUGAUUUGUAUGCUGGCACGAAUUUUCUUGCUGGUGUGACAGAGCUAAUUUGGCUAUCUCGGGUGGGCAAGUUCCUUGUUGUUUGUGUCGACUAAGCAAGAAGAGCUAGCAAAGCUACCAGGGGGUCUUGGGGUCCGGCCGUUCAGACCAGAUCCUAGCGCCGAUGAUUCUUUCCCGCCUAAACUCGGCUCAUUUCCCGCGCUCGCAGAUUCCGCCCGCAGCAGACAGCAGGGUGCACAGGAGGAUCUUGCGCCAGAAAAUUUGCGCCACCUCAUCUAGAACACGCAUGCUAACUAAAAAAUAUCAUAAGUGUUAAAUAAAAUAUCCAAAAAUAAAUUACGAUUACACCAUUGAAUUUCUUACAAUAAAUCCUUUAAAAUAAGAUCCCACAUGAAUAUAUUUCAGUAAUUUUUUUAACGAACAUUUAUCUAAUGAAGAUAUAACAUUUUUCUUUUAUUAAGCAAAGUCAAUGUUCUAGAUUUAAAGAACAAUGUUUUGUCUCUAUAAGAAGAAUGUUCAUAAUUUAGAUUCAUGAAAUAGAAUUACAAUAUACAUAAAAAAAUACAUAUAUAAAUAAAUAAAUUGAUACUAUAAUUAAACACUUAAUAGAGAAAAAAAUAAAAUAAUAGCACAUGUGUACUUUUUAAAAAUCCUAAUAUAUAUAGUAUAAAAAAUCAUGUGUAUACUAAGUAAACACUACUAAAUACACUAUAAAAUAAAAAAUGAAAUAGUAUAAAACAUAUAUACCACAUAAACAUCACAGAAUACAUCAUAGAACAUUAUUAUAGACUACGUGAACAUCACUUAUAUACUAGAAGAACAUUAUAAAAUAUAUCAUAUAAUACCAUAUGGACAUAAAAAACAUAGAACAUCACAUUUACGACAUGUGAACAUCAUAGAAAGUAUUAUAGAACAUCACAUACAUACUAAUACUAUAUGAACAUUACAAAAAAAACAUCAUAGAACAUGAAAUUAUAUACAUGCGAACAUCAUAAAAACACAUCGUAGAACAUCACAUCUAUAUACUAUAUGACGUAACAUCUCAUAUAAUAUAAAAAAUAAAAAAAAUAAAUUAAAAAUAAUUUUAUAUUAAUAAUAAUAAUAAUAUAAAAAAUAAAAAAAGCAAAGAAGAGAAAACAUACAUAAAACAUGAAUAACAAAUGAUAAAUAUAUAGGAAAAUAAAAAAUAAAUAUGAACAUGAAAAGUAAAAAAAUUAAGUAGAGUAAAAGAACACAGAAUAGAAAAUAAGAAAAUAAAAAGAAAAUAAAUAUAAGAAAUAAAAAAAGAAACUAGUAUAACAACCUACUAGGAGUUAAUUAAGAAGAAAAUAAGUAGAAAAAAAUACUAACUACCUAUUUCGAGAGAAGAAAAGAAACAUAUACGACGGGAAAAAUUAAUUGAAAUAAUAAAAUAAAAUAAAAAAUAAAUUGAAGCAGAAAAAAGGAAUAGAAAAAUAUAGAAAGAAAAUAAAAAGGUAAAAAAUAAAUAUAAAAUAAACAUAAUAAAAUAAAAAUAAGAUAAACAAAAAAAGUAAAAGUAAAAUUAAAUUGAAGCUAUAAAAACAAAAUAAGAAAAAAAAAGAAAAGAAACAAAAAAAUAAAGAAAAUAAAAAUACCAAGAAAAAAGGAAAAGAAACAUAAAGAAAAAGAAAAAAAGAAAACUAGACAACAGCGAAUGAGAGGGACAAAAUAAUAAAGAAAAAGAAAAGAAGAUAAAUUAAGAAAAAAGAAAAAAAUAGGAAACAAAAAGGAAAACAUACGCACUUACCUGGGGAUGAAAACCGUUGCUCGUGCAUGCGAGUAGCAGCUGCUCGUGUCCACGCACGGCAACAUCGCACGGGAAUCAUCGGACCGAGGCUCCCGUCCGAACGUUCGUAGGGGAAGAGUCCCGAAGCUACCAAGCCUGGCGAGGCUGGCCUUGCCCGUCUAGGCGAGCCAAUUUAGGCCUUGUUCAGUUUUUAAAAAAUUUCAAGAUUCUCCGUCACAUCGAAUCUCUAGACGCAUAUAAAGAGCAUUAAAUAUAGAUAAAAGAAAUAAUUAGUUGUUCAGUUUAUCUGUAUUUUGCGAGACGAAUCCUUUGAGCCUAGUUAGUCCUUAAUUGGACAAUAAUUACUAAAUAUAAACGAAAAUGCUAGAGUACUUAAAACCAAAAAAUUUCUCCAUCUGAACAAGCAAGUAAAAGCUAGCGUGCUCAGAAAACAAGAUAGUAAAGCAAGGUAUCCAAACACAUUCUUGUCUUCCAUUCCUCGCUGAGCGAGGUAAGGCAAGGUUUGGUUGAAAAACCAAGCACGCCCUAUAUCGUCAAACAAGUCGGCCCAUCAAGCUGGAACAAGCCGGAAAUCAGGUGCCUAUGUCGAUUGUUUUUGUUCACGAGGAAACAUGGGCUGCUGACACAGGCUUUCCAAAAGGGAAAAAGGUUUUUUCCUGCUCUGAUAACAUUUUUAACAAAAACAGAAACACUGGUGACAACGAUGUGCUACCUUCACGGGGGGAGAUGGACUUGCCCUGGUGCCCUGCACAUGCACGAGUAUUGUAAUGUAUUGCUCCAGAAAGAACACCUCACCUUGCAUUUCGUUGAUGCCUAGCUGAAGACUGCAGAGGCACCUCAAGCCUGAAAUGCUCCUCGUUCAGCGUUCACUGAUGUUAAGCUCUGUCAGCUUCCAACGACAGAGCCACAGAGGAGUUCUUCCUGCCCAUCGAAGCUCCAUCCCCUUCCAGCUGAUCAGCUGGUGUAUGCGGCAGCGGCACAUGCACACUGCAACAUGACCUCGACGGAGUUCACCACCAGUGGCGCGCCAUUGGCUCGCCGUCGUUCUCCGAUACAGCAUCAGAUCUUCGCAUGCUGACACGGGGUGGCGGCCGCUGGUUGGUAGGAACCGGCAGACAGCAUAGAAUUGGACGGCCGCACGGCCUAGAAGGCU
This 3832-nucleotide long non-coding RNA is filed under the name Sorghum bicolor (sorghum). RNAcentral's name for it is "long non-coding RNA (SBIC_LNC007323)". Lineage: Eukaryota; Viridiplantae; Streptophyta; Magnoliopsida; Poales; Poaceae. The record is from RNAcentral.